RNAcentral lists this ribosomal RNA (746 nucleotides) under uncultured Sulfurimonas sp. RNAcentral's name for it is "bacterial SSU rRNA". It matches the Rfam family "Bacterial small subunit ribosomal RNA", at positions 97 to 863 of the family's 1533-position model. Lineage: Bacteria; Pseudomonadati; Campylobacterota; Epsilonproteobacteria; Campylobacterales; Sulfurimonadaceae. The record is from RNAcentral.
GGCGGACGGGUGAGUAAUAUAUAGAUAACGUGCCUCUUAGUCUGGGAUAGCCAUUGGAAACGAUGAUUAAUACUAGAUACUCCUUCUUAUCACAUGAUAAGUCGGGAAAGUUUUUUCGCUAAGAGAUCGGUCUAUAUCGCAUCAGUUAGUUGGUGGGGUAACGGCCUACCAAGACAAUGACGCGUAGCGGGUUUGAGAGGAUGAUCCGCCACACUGGUACUGAGACACGGACCAGACUCCUACGGGAGGCAGCAGUGAGGAAUAUUGCACAAUGGGGGAAACCCUGAUGCAGCAACGCCGCGUGGAGGAUGACGCAUUUCGGUGUGUAAACUCCUUUUAUGAGUCAAGAAAAUGACGGUAGCUCAUGAAUAAGCACCGGCUAACUCCGUGCCAGCAGCCGCGGUAAUACGGAGGGUGCAAGCGUUACUCGGAAUCACUGGGCGUAAAGGACGCGUAGGCGGGUUAUCAAGUCAGGUGUGAAAUCCUAUGGCUCAACCAUAGAACUGCACUUGAAACUGGUAACCUAGAGUAUGGGAGGGGCAGAUGGAAUUAGUAGUGUAGGGGUAAAAUCCGUAGAUAUUACUAGGAAUACCGAAAGCGAAGGCGAUCUGCUGGAACAUUACUGACGCUAAGGCGUGAAAGCGUGGGGAGCAAACGGGAUUAGAUACCCCGGUAGUCCACGCCCUAAACGAUGAACACUAGUCGUCGGGGAGCUAGUCUCUUCGGUGAUGCACUUAACAGAUUAA